RNAcentral lists this transfer RNA (91 nucleotides) under Methylophilus sp. Its description in RNAcentral is "tRNA-Ser". It matches the Rfam family "tRNA". From Rfam's summary of the family: Transfer RNA (tRNA) molecules are approximately 80 nucleotides in length. Their secondary structure includes four short double-helical elements and three loops (D, anti-codon, and T loops). Further hydrogen bonds mediate the characteristic L-shaped molecular structure. tRNAs have two regions of fundamental functional importance: the anti-codon, which is responsible for specific mRNA codon recognition, and the 3' end, to which the tRNAs corresponding amino acid is attached (by aminoacyl-tRNA synthetases). tRNAs cope with the degeneracy of the genetic code in two manners: having more than one tRNA (with a specific anti-codon) for a particular amino acid; and 'wobble' base-pairing, i.e. permitting non-standard base-pairing at the 3rd anti-codon position. The record is from RNAcentral. Lineage: Bacteria; Pseudomonadati; Pseudomonadota; Betaproteobacteria; Nitrosomonadales; Methylophilaceae. RNAcentral also lists the same sequence under 2 other names.
GGAGAAGUGGCAGAGCUGGUUGAAUGUACCUGACUCGAAAUCAGGCAUACGCGCAAGCGUAUCGAGGGUUCGAAUCCCUCCUUCUCCGCCA